AAUCGUUUGCACGCCGGACGAAAUGCUUAGCGGUAUUUCGUCUAUCUUUACGUUCUGAGUUCAAAUUCCACCGAGGUCGACUUUACUUUUCCUCCUUUCGGGGUCGAUAAAUUAAGUACCAGUUGCGUUACUGAGUUCGACCUAAUCGACUGUCUCCCUGCCCCAAAAUUUCGAGCCUUGUGCCUAGAGCAG
This 192-nucleotide long non-coding RNA is filed under the name Octopus sinensis (East Asian common octopus). RNAcentral's name for it is "uncharacterized LOC118761731, transcript variant X2". The record is from RNAcentral. Lineage: Eukaryota; Metazoa; Mollusca; Cephalopoda; Octopoda; Octopodidae.